GCUAGCACUCUCCUCUCAUCUUCUCUUUCCAGUGAUGGCAUUCUCCCUCCAUAUUCGGCGAUGCUUUCUUCCUGAUGAUGAGAUUCGAUCUAUUGGCCUUGUUCAAAAUCUAUGAAGUCACUCAUUAACUCUUGUGUAGACCUUACAAAUGGACUGUGGUCACUUGUUCUCCUGAUCCUUUCGUCGCAUCCUUGCUUACAAACAAUAUGGCAGGGAGGGUGGCUUGAACUAUGUUGCCUCUUCAAGAACCUGAAGAUCUCUCAAAUGCUCUCAAGAAUUGUUAUUUAAGAACUUUUUAUUGAUAGAAUCUCUUCUAGAAUUCAAAGAAUUUAUAGGAUAAUAUUUUUUGUAUGGUGAAUUCUCAAGUGAUUGAUAUCUUUUCAAUUUU
Long non-coding RNA from Prosopis cineraria, 388 nucleotides. RefSeq lists it as uncharacterized. NCBI's taxonomy places the organism in Eukaryota, Viridiplantae, Streptophyta, Magnoliopsida, Fabales, Fabaceae. The record is from RefSeq and is a predicted model, not a curated record. The transcript has 4 exons.